Molecule: ribosomal RNA, 273 nt
Filed under: uncultured bacterium
Lineage: Bacteria
Description: partial 16S ribosomal RNA
Rfam family: Bacterial small subunit ribosomal RNA
Source: RNAcentral
AUACGUAUGUCGCAAGCGUUAUCCGGAAUUAUUGGGCGUAAAGCGAGUCUAGGCGGCUUGUUAAGUCAGAUGUGAAAAUGCGGGGCUCAACUCCGUAUUGCGUUUGAAACUGGCAGGCUAGAGUACUGGAGAGGUGGGCGGAACUACAAGUGUAGAGGUGAAAUUCGUAGAUAUUAGUAGGAAUGCCGAUAGUGAAGACAGCUCACUGGACAGAUACUGACGCUACAGCUCGAAAGCGUGGGGAGCGAACAGGAUUAGAAACCCCAGUAGUAC